RNAcentral lists this ribosomal RNA (497 nucleotides) under uncultured bacterium. Its description in RNAcentral is "partial 16S ribosomal RNA". It matches the Rfam family "Bacterial small subunit ribosomal RNA", at positions 28 to 507 of the family's 1533-position model. The record is from RNAcentral.
GAUGAACGCUGGCGGCGUGCCUAAUACAUGCAAGUCGAGCGAACAGACGAGGAGCUUGCUCCUCUGACGUUAGCGGCGGACGGGUGAGUAACACGUGGAUAACCUACCUAUAAGACUGGGAUAACUUCGGGAAACCGGAGCUAAUACCGGAUAAUAUAUUGAACCGCAUGGUUCAAUAGUGAAAGACGGUUUUGCUGUCACUUAUAGAUGGAUCCGCGCCGCAUUAGCUAGUUGGUAAGGUAACGGCUUACCAAGGCGACGAUGCGUAGCCGACCUGAGAGGGUGAUCGGCCACACUGGAACUGAGACACGGUCCAGACUCCUACGGGAGGCAGCAGUAGGGAAUCUUCCGCAAUGGGCGAAAGCCUGACGGAGCAACGCCGCGUGAGUGAUGAAGGUCUUCGGAUCGUAAAACUCUGUUAUUAGGGAAGCACAAAUGUGUAAGUAACUAUGCACGUCUUGACGGUACCUAAUCAGAAAGCCACGGCUAACUACGUG